Molecule: small nuclear RNA, 102 nt
Organism: Tupaia belangeri (northern tree shrew)
Lineage: Eukaryota; Metazoa; Chordata; Mammalia; Scandentia; Tupaiidae
Source: Ensembl
GUGCUUACUUCAGCAGCACAUAGACCAAAGGUGGAACGAUAGAGAGAUUAAUAUGGAGCCUGUGCAAGGAUGACAAAAAUUCAUGACAUGUACACUUUUUCC